AAAGGGGCACUAGCUGUCAAAUCCAUGGUCACCGAUUUGACUCAAAUUCUCAUAUUUGAUUAAUAACAAUGUACAACAUUUAUCCAAACUACCAAAAGUCUAAAAUAAACAGUUUACAGAGCAUGGGGUAGAUAAUAUUUAGGUUUGUUUCGUGUGUAUUUUAGUCCAGACGCCAUCUAAUGAACUAUCGAUUUGACCUCAGAUGAC
Molecule: long non-coding RNA, 207 nt
Filed under: Mytilus galloprovincialis (Mediterranean mussel)
Lineage: Eukaryota; Metazoa; Mollusca; Bivalvia; Mytilida; Mytilidae
Source: RNAcentral